This 483-nucleotide ribosomal RNA is filed under the name uncultured bacterium. RNAcentral's name for it is "partial 16S ribosomal RNA". It matches the Rfam family "Bacterial small subunit ribosomal RNA", at positions 30 to 507 of the family's 1533-position model. The record is from RNAcentral.
AUUGAACGCUGGCGGCAGGCCUAACACAUGCAAGUCGAGCGGAUGAAGGGAGCUUGCUCCUGGAUUCAGCGGCGGACGGGUGAGUAAUGCCUAGGAAUCUGCCUGGUAGUGGGGGAUAACGUCCGGAAACGGGCGCUAAUACCGCAUACGUCCUGAGGGGGAAGGGGGGGAUCUUUGGACCUUCCGGCUUUAGGAGAAGCUAGGUCGGAUUAGCUAGUUGGUGGGGUAAAGGCCUACCAAGGCGACGAUCCGUAACUGGUCUGAGAGGAUGAUCAGUCACACUGGAACUGAGACACGGUCCAGACUCCUACGGGAGGCAGCAGUGGGGAAUAUUGGACAAUGGGCGAAAGCCUGAUCCAGCCAUGCCGCGUGUGUGAAGAAGGUCUUCGGAUUGUAAAGCACUUUAAGUUGGGAGGAAGGGCAGUAAGUUAAUACCUUGCUGUUUUGACGUUACCAACAGAAUAAGCACCGGCUAACUUCGUG